GACGAACGCUGGCGGCGUGCUUAACACAUGCAAGUCGAACGGAAAGGCCCUGCUUUUGUGGGGUGCUCGAGUGGCGAACGGGUGAGUAACACGUGAGUAACCUGCCCUUGACUUUGGGAUAACUUCAGGAAACUGGGGCUAAUACCGGAUAGGAGCUCCUGCUGCAUGGUGGGGGUUGGAAAGUUUCGGCGGUUGGGGAUGUACUCGCGGCUUAUCAGCUUGUUGGUGGGGUAGUGGCUUACCAAGGCUUUGACGGGUAGCCGGCCUGAGAGGGUGACCGGCCACAUUGGGACUGAGAUACGGCGCAGACGCCUACGGGAGGCAGCAGUGGGGAAUAUGGCAGAAUGGGCGGAAGCCUGAUGCAGCAACGCCGCGUGCGGGAUGACGGCCUUCGGGUUGUAAACCGCUUUCGAAUGUGACGAAGCGUGAGUGACGGUAAUGGGUAAAGAAGCACCGGCUAACUACGUG
Molecule: ribosomal RNA, 468 nt
Filed under: uncultured bacterium
Lineage: Bacteria
Description: partial 16S ribosomal RNA
Rfam family: Bacterial small subunit ribosomal RNA
Source: RNAcentral